RNAcentral lists this ribosomal RNA (452 nucleotides) under uncultured Eubacteriales bacterium. RNAcentral describes it as "bacterial SSU rRNA". It matches the Rfam family "Bacterial small subunit ribosomal RNA", at positions 933 to 1382 of the family's 1533-position model. Lineage: Bacteria; Bacillati; Bacillota; Clostridia; Eubacteriales. The record is from RNAcentral.
CGGAGCAUGUGGUUUAAUUCGAAGCAACGCGAAGAACCUUACCAGGGCUUGACAUGCCGCUGACCGGUGCAGAGAUGCAUCUUUACCCUUCGGGGUACAGCGGACACAGGUGGUGCAUGGUUGUCGUCAGCUCGUGUCGUGAGAUGUUGGGUUAAGUCCCGCAACGAGCGCAACCCUUGUCUUUAGUUGCCAUCAUUAAGUUGGGCACUCUAAAGAGACUGCCGAUGACAAAUCGGAGGAAGGUGGGGAUGACGUCAAAUCAUCAUGCCCUUUAUGUCCUGGGCUACACACGUGCUACAAUGGUCGGUACAACGAGAAGCAAGUCAGCGAUGGCAAGCAAAUCUCUAAAAGCCGAUCCCAGUUCGGAUUGCAGGCUGCAACUCGCCUGCAUGAAGUCGGAGUUGCUAGUAAUCGCGGAUCAGAAUGCCGCGGUGAAUGCGUUCCCGGGUCUU